AAGUCGUAACAAGGUUUCCGUAGGUGAACCUGCGGAAGGAUCAUUAUCGAGUUUUGAACGGGUUGUAGCUGGCCUCAUACGGGGCAUGUGCACACCCGGCUCAUCCACUCUCAACCUCUGUGCACUUAUUGUAGGAUGGCGAAAGGUCAUGCAUUUAUGUGUGGCUGGAAACCGUUCUACGUUUUACUACAAACGCUUCAGUUAUAGAAUGUCUUCUUGCGUAUAACGCAUCUUAUACAACUUUCAGCAACGGAUCUCUUGGCUCUC
RNAcentral lists this unclassified non-coding RNA (267 nucleotides) under air metagenome. RNAcentral's name for it is "partial contains small subunit ribosomal RNA, internal transcribed spacer 1, and 5.8S ribosomal RNA". The stretch from base 1 to 46 matches the Rfam family "Eukaryotic small subunit ribosomal RNA", at positions 1786 to 1831 of the family's 1831-position model. The record is from RNAcentral.